ACGUUUACACCUGAUCGUUUUUUCUGAUCAAAAAACCUUAUCAUUAACCUAAUCCUGAUUUUUAAUGUUUAUGCGGACAUACAUGAACAUAAAGAGAAAAAACAAAGACAUUUUGAGAAGUUGUCUAGAAACGUUUUGAUCAAAGCAAGUCUUCAGCUGUGGAGCAGAAAGACACUUCCUUAUUCAUAAGUCAAUGACAGAAGAUGACGUUGGAGCAGAAUCUGGAUACAUGGAAGAUCCAGUCCAGAUGAGAAAAUGCCCCGACUCACAGUCAGCAUUGAUAUAAAUUCUGAAACAGGUGCGAGUGUAAAUGCUCCUCUAUUGACUGCGAACACCUUCACAGGACCAGUAACCAUUUUUGGCUCAAAUGCUGAAGGAAACGAUAAACAGAAAUCCUCAGAGAUGGCAGAGGAACACAGAGAAAAACAAGAGCUGCAAAACUUUUUGGAAACUCACAAAACAAACAUGAAGGAGAAAAACAGAAUAUAUUUUUGAGGGCAACAAAGACAAGAAAGCAUGUAACUCAAG
Molecule: long non-coding RNA, 528 nt
Organism: Puntigrus tetrazona (Sumatra barb)
Lineage: Eukaryota; Metazoa; Chordata; Actinopteri; Cypriniformes; Cyprinidae
Exons: 5
Source: RefSeq, a predicted model, not a curated record